Molecule: ribosomal RNA, 400 nt
Filed under: phytoplankton environmental sample
Lineage: Eukaryota
Description: partial small subunit ribosomal RNA
Rfam family: Eukaryotic small subunit ribosomal RNA
Source: RNAcentral
AGCUCCGCCAGUGUAUAUCUAUGCUGCUGCGGUUAAAAAGCUCGUAGUUGGAUCUGCAUGCUUCGAGACAGUCCGACAAUGUUGUUGUGUACUGUGCUCGAGCAUAUGGUGGCUGGUUUUCGCUUGAUGCACUUUAUUGUGUGUCCUGCGUGGCUAGCGAGUUUACUUUGAAAAAAUUAGAGUGCUCAAUACAAGCGUUUUGCUUGAAUACUGGUGCAUGGAAUAAUAGAAUAAGAUCUUGGUUUUAUUUUGUUGGUUUUCGAAACACAAGAUAAUGAUUAAGAGGGACAGACGGGGGCAUUUGUAUUGCGACGUUAGAGGUGAAAUUCUUGGAUCGUCGCAAGACAAACUACUGCGAAAGCAUUUGCCAAGAAUGUUUUCAUUAAUCAAGAACGAAAGU